CAGCAGCCGCGGUAAUACGUAGGUGGCAAGCGUUGUCCGGAAUUAUUGGGCGUAAAGGGCUCGCAGGCGGUUUCUUAAGUCUGAUGUGAAAGCCCCCGGCUCAACCGGGGAGGGUCAUUGGAAACUGGGAAACUUGAGUGCAGAAGAGGAGAGUGGAAUUCCACGUGUAGCGGUGAAAUGCGUAGAGAUGUGGAGGAACACCAGUGGCGAAGGCGACUCUCUGGUCUGUAACUGACGCUGAGGAGCAAAAGCGUGGGGAGCGAACAGGAUUAGAUACCCGAGUAGUCCCUGUCUCUUAUAA
Molecule: ribosomal RNA, 301 nt
Filed under: uncultured bacterium
Lineage: Bacteria
Description: partial 16S ribosomal RNA
Rfam family: Bacterial small subunit ribosomal RNA
Source: RNAcentral